RNAcentral lists this ribosomal RNA (403 nucleotides) under uncultured bacterium. RNAcentral's name for it is "bacterial SSU rRNA". It matches the Rfam family "Bacterial small subunit ribosomal RNA", at positions 355 to 774 of the family's 1533-position model. The record is from RNAcentral.
UAGGGAAUAUUGCAAAAUGGGCGAAAGCCCGAUGCAGCAACGCCGCGUGGGCGAUGAAGGCCUUCGGGUCGUAAAGCCCUUUUUGAGGGGAUGAGGAAGGACAGUACCCUCAGAAUAAGCCUCGGCUAACUACGUGCCAGCAGCCGCGGUAAAACGUAGGAGGCGAGCGUUAUCCGGAUUUACUGGGCGUAAAGCGCGUGCAGGCGGAUUGGAGAGUUGGAUGUGAAAGCUCCCGGCUUAACUGGGAGAGGUCGUUCAAUACUUCCAGUCUUGAGUGCAGUAGAGGGAAGUGGAAUUCCGGGUGUAGUGGUGAAAUGCGUAGAUAUCCGGAGGAACACCCGUGGCGAAAGCGGCUUCCUGGACUGUAACUGACGCUCAGACGCGAAAGCUAGGGUAGCAAACG